AAGCACUUUAUGGACUGACAGUCUCUCAGGUC
RNAcentral lists this non-coding RNA (32 nucleotides) under Rattus norvegicus (Norway rat). The record is from RNAcentral. Lineage: Eukaryota; Metazoa; Chordata; Mammalia; Rodentia; Muridae.